UCCUCUUCUUCCUCCUCCUUCUCCUUCUCCUCCUCCUUUCUCCUUAAUAACACGUGCAAAAAGAAAUUACAGACUUACACAUACAAAAAAAAAAGGUAAAAAAUUAAGCUUAUUCAAACGCAGAAAAACGAGGAAGAUGUCCACCCGGGGUUCUAGAUUAUGCAAGAGAACCUUUGAAUGGCGAGGGAGCGACUGACAGAUGUAGUGACUGACUGACUGACUGAGCGACCGCAAUCUUACCUGGACGAGGAGAAAGAAAAUUAAAUGAAAAUGAAGAUGGUGAAAGAAUUAUACACAAGAAAGAAAGGAAGUGGAAAUAAGAGACGGGGCGAAAAAAAGUAAAGAAAGAAGAGAUAGAAGAAAGCAUAGGUCGUAAAAAUAUGCAUAAGGAAAGAAAAGAAAGGAAAAUAGAAGAAAAUGAAGAUGGUGAAAGAAUUAUAUACAAGAAAGAAAGGAAAUGGAAAUAAAAGACAGGCGAAAAGAAGAGAUAAAAGAGAGCAUGUAGGUCGUAAAAAUAUCAUAAGGAAAGAAAAGAAAGGAAAUUACAAGAAAAUGAAGAUGGUGAAAGAAUUAUACACAAGAAAGAAAGGAAGAGGAAAUAAAAGACAUGCUAAAAGAAGAGAUAAAAGAGAGUAUGUAGGUCGUAAAAAUAGCAUAAGGAAAGAAAAGAAAGGAAAAUAGAAGAAAAUGAAGAUGGUGAAAGAAUUAUACACAAGAAAGAAAGGAAAUGGAAAUAAAAGACAGGCGAAAAGAAGGGAUAGAAGAGAGUAUGUAGGUCGUAAAAAUAUCAUAAGGAAAGAAAAGAAAGGAAAAUAGAAGAAAAUGAAGAUGGUGAAAGAAUUAUACACGAGAAAGAAAGGAAAUGGAAAUAAAAGACAAGCGAAAAGAAGAGAUAAAAGAGAGUAUGUAGGUCGUAAAAAUAUCAUAAGGAAAGAAAAGAAAGGAAAAUAGAAGAAAAUGAAGAUGGUGAAAGAAUUAUACACAAGAAAGAAAGGAAAUGGAAAUAAAAGACAGGCGAAAAGAAGAGAUAAAAGAGAGUAUGUAGGUCGUAAAAAUAGCAUAAGGAAAGAAAAGAAAGGAAAUAACAAGAAAAUGAAGAUGGUGAAAGCAUUAUACACAAGAAAGAAAGGAAAUGGAAAUAAAAGACAGGCGAAAAGAAGAGAUAAAAGAGAGUAUGUAGGUCGUAAAAAUAUCAUAAGAAAAGAAAAGAAAGGAAAAUAGAAGAAAAUGAAGACGGCGAAAGAAUUAUACACAAGAAAGAAAGGAAAUGGAAAUAAAAGACAGGCGAAAAGAAGGGAUAGAAGGAGUAUGUAGGUCGUAAAAAUAUCAUAAGGAAAGAAAAGAAAGGAAAAUAGAAGAAAAGCAGGUGGUAAAAAAAUUAUACACAAGAAAGAAAAGAAAGUGGAAAUAAAACAAAGAAAAAAAAGCGUUCUCACCGUUCUUAUCCAACAGUAGUGAGUCACCGAUGAGUCACUUACCCGGAAAGAGAGAGAGAGAAAAAAAUGGAAGGUUAGUGUGAGUCAAUAACGCACGCACGCACUCACGCACGUAGUCUCUCUCUCUCU
Long non-coding RNA from Eriocheir sinensis (Chinese mitten crab), 1565 nucleotides. RefSeq lists it as uncharacterized. Lineage: Eukaryota; Metazoa; Arthropoda; Malacostraca; Decapoda; Varunidae. The record is from RefSeq and is a predicted model, not a curated record. The transcript is spliced from 4 exons.